RNAcentral lists this long non-coding RNA (92 nucleotides) under Fukomys damarensis (Damara mole-rat). RNAcentral describes it as "lncRNA (ENSFDAG00000030805.1)". Lineage: Eukaryota; Metazoa; Chordata; Mammalia; Rodentia; Bathyergidae. The record is from RNAcentral.
AAGGAAUGCACACUGUAGACCCUAUAAAUCCAGAGAAAUGGUUCAUCCAGUGGGAAAGGACAACUCCAAGGUCCCAGCCCUGUAAGGACUGA